AGUGAACGCUGGCGGUAGGCCUAACACAUGCAAGUCGAACGGCAGCACAGUAAGAGCUUGCUCUUACGGGUGGCGAGUGGCGGACGGGUGAGGAAUACAUCGGAAUCUACUUUUUCGUGGGGGAUAACGUAGGGAAACUUACGCUAAUACCGCAUACGACCUACGGGUGAAAGCAGGGGAUCUUCGGACCUUGCGCGAUUGAAUGAGCCGAUGUCGGAUUAGCUAGUUGGCGGGGUAAAGGCCUACCAAGGCGACGAUCCGUAGCUGGUCUGAGAGGGUGAUCAGCCACACUGGAACUGAGACACGGUCCAGACUCCUACGGGAGGCAGCAGUGGGGAAUAUUGGACAAUGGGCGCAAGCCUGAUCCAGCCAUACCGCGUGGGUGAAGAAGGCCUUCGGGUUGUAAAGCCCUUUUGUUGGGAAAGAAAAGCAGCAGGUUAAUACCCCGCUGUUCUGACGGUACCCAAAGAAUAGCACCGGCUAACUUCGUG
RNAcentral lists this ribosomal RNA (491 nucleotides) under uncultured bacterium. RNAcentral's name for it is "partial 16S ribosomal RNA". It matches the Rfam family "Bacterial small subunit ribosomal RNA", at positions 29 to 507 of the family's 1533-position model. The record is from RNAcentral.